CUAUUGAACAACAAAUGGGAAAAAGACAUAAAGAACACAUGGAAACCGUAAGGCAAAUUGAUUCCAACAUGAUUCACAUCGAAAGGAGUAAGGUUAACCAGAGUCAACUCCGGUCCCCUAAACAUAGAAUUUGUUGACACACCCCCAUCCCUCAUAUGUUCUAGUCUCCGCAAACUCAAAGAAUUUGAAUAGUAUCUAAAAUCUUUAGAAACAUGAACUUACACAGGCACACACUCCCCCUAAGAAAGUCAGCCAAUCUAAAACUUUCAAACAAAAAUUCAGAAAUCUUCAUUGACAGCAACUACCUACACAUCUAUACACAAAUACAUAGAUCGUGAAUACAUAUGUUAUAGGAUCAUAUCAAAAUUUCAAACAAAAGAGACCUAUCUUCCUAUAAAUCUUUAUAUCUUUGUCUAAGAUCAUGGAAAAAAAGUUCGAAGAGACAAAAAAAUUUACAUUCUACUAUAAGAUCAAUAAAAACCAAUACCCAAACAGAAAGCCACUGCUACAGUAAAGAUGCAAAAAAUAAUAAUAAUAAUAAUAAUAAUAAUAAUAAUAAUAAUAAUAAAUUGAACAAGUCUCUGAGAAAAUCAAUAAAACUAGCAAAAUUACAUUUGAGGGGAGAAAAAAUAUAUUCAUAGAUUAUUAACCCACAUUCAGUAUUCCAAAAUGCACCCCAAAAAAAUAAAUAAAUAAAUAAAUAAAUAAUGAUGAUGAAUUUUAUAUACACCAAAAAUUGACAUUUAAUUAAUAAAUUUCAUGAAGCAUAAAAUUUGAUACCUGUAUUUGAUCUUGUUUGAUCAUCUCUUCUUCGCUGAUUGUAGUUGCAGUUACUUUUUCUCUUUUCCUCUGAUUUCUUACUUGAUUGUUCUGCAGAGCACGGGAAACACCCCAUGCCUUCUCUCUUCUUUCCUUCUCUCUCAAUCUAUAUAUGUAUCUGUAUGGAAAUAUAUUCAUACAAUUAGAUAAACAAUAUAGUUGUCUAACUACAGAGAAGAAAACAGAGAGCCCAUAUAAUAAAAAAUNNNN
RNAcentral lists this long non-coding RNA (1029 nucleotides) under Olea europaea (common olive). RNAcentral describes it as "long non-coding RNA (OEUR_LNC007695)". Lineage: Eukaryota; Viridiplantae; Streptophyta; Magnoliopsida; Lamiales; Oleaceae. The record is from RNAcentral.